UUUAUUCAUUGCAGAUUUUCUUUUUUAAAAGCUCUGUCCUAUUUGGCUUAUUCCCAGCUCUUUCCCGACAUGGGUGCAGCCGGGUUCUCUGUUGUCAAAUCACCUCACUGCCCAUUGGCAUCUCGCAAGUAUUUGCCAUCCAGAACCCUUGGCUGCUGCAUUUAGCCAAUGGGUCUGGUUCUUUCAUCUGAGAGCUUCUGGGGUUGUUGAUUGGAUAUACUCAAGAAACACUAUCCAGACUGCAGAUUCAGCUUCAUUCCCCACCCCCUCCUCCGGGCACUGUGAGCGUGGGACAGGACGGAGCAGAGGACGGACGGGUGUGGUCUGAGAGGCAGAAUUGCCAAGAAGUUUAGGAGGAUGAGAAGGAUAUGCUCAGCAAAGAGAUAAGCAUGUAAAUCCUAAAUGCAUGGCGUUUACUGGAGUUUGGGACCACACUUCAUGCAAAAACAGCUGAAAGGCAAACCUGUUUACCUGCACAUCCACCAAGGAAGAUAUAAAGAAGUCAUGCCACCUUUCUACUGGUCCUACAAUAGCAAAUGCUGCUUUAAGGAGUUUAGUAUUUGUCGGAAAGUCUGACAGAAUCCAAACAAAAAACCUCUUUAUAGUUUCUUUUAGAGUUUAACUCCUGAGUCAUUUAUUUUUAGGCCCUAUCAAACUUGUACCUAGCAAGGAUGAGGGGAAGCUGAGGCACUUGAGGGGGGGAAAAAAUGAACAAAAAAAUCCUUACAAUCUAACCUCCUUGUUUUAAAGAUUAGAAAAGAGAAAAGCAUUAAGAUCAUUAUGACUUCAGAAUUACAGAAGACAGUCCUAAAAUGAAUUUGGAGCCAGAAGAUACCUAGAAUAGCAAAGCAAUUCUGGGCAAGAAAGGCAAGGCAGGGGAUAUCACCAUCCCUGACUUGAAAUUAUACUGUAAAGCUAUUACGAUAAAAACAGCAUGGUACCAACAAAAAACAAACCCAAGGAUCAAUGGAAGAGAUUAGAAGAUGCAGAAACAACUCCAAACACACUCAGUAAUUUUACCUAUGACAAAGAAACUAAAAACCUUUCUUGGAAGAAAGCUAGCCUCUUUAAUAAAUGGUGCUGUAAAAACUGCUUUCCACAUGCCAAAGAUUAAAACUAGGUGCAUAUCUUUCAUCAUGUACUAAAUGAAAUCAAAAUGGAUUAAAGAUCUAAAUAUUAAAACAGAAACACAAUCUACUAGAAGAGAAAAGUAGAGUUCUUGAAGUCAGGUGUAGGCAGACAUUUUAGGAACAAAACCCCAGUCACACAGGAACUAUCACAAAGAAUCAACUGGGAUCUCAUCUUAUUAUAGAGCUUUUACAUAGCAAAAGAAACCACUAAUAGGGUAAAGAGACAACUUCCAGCAUGGAAAUUAUUUUUACCAGCUGUUCCUCAAAUAAAGGACUGAUAUCUAGAAUAUACAAAGAACUAAAAAAACAAAAUCAGAUUCCCCCCACAAAUUUACAAACCCAUUCCAAAAAUGGGCAUCUGAAAGGAAUAGAUACUUCUCAGCUGAAGUAGAAACAGCAAAUAUAUGAAAAAAUAUUCAACAUCACUGGUCAUUUGAGAGACGCAAAUUAAAACAGUGCUGAGAUUCCAUUUCAUCCCUGAAAGAAUGGCUAUGAUCAAGAAAUCAAUAACACGCUGGCAGGGUUAGGGGGAAAAAGGAACCUUUCUCCACUGCUGGUGGGAAUACAGACUGGUGCAACCACUGUAGAAAUCAGUGUGGAAAUUCCUCAAAAAACUAAAUCCAAAAUUCUACUCAACCCAACUAUUUCCCUUCUUAGUAUCUUCCUGAAUGGUUUAUAUUUUUUUACCAACAGAAUUAAAAGCAUCAUACCACAGCAAUACAUUCACAUUCAUGGUUACAGUAGCACAGUUUGUAAUAUCUAAAUCUUGGAAAUACCCUAAAUGCCCAUCAACUGAUGAACAGAUGAAAUCUUUUUUAAUACAGUGGAGUACUACUCUGCCAUAAAGAAUACCCUCAAGACAUUUCUAGCUAAAUGGAUACAUCUUUUUUUUUUUUUUUUUUUUUUGGUCUUUUUCCUUUUUAUCGGUACCAGGGAUCGAACUCACAAUUACCUGCUUUACAAGGCAGGUGCUUAUGCUGCUGAGCUAAAUCCCCAGCCCCUAAAUGGACACACCUUGAGACCAUACUCUGAAGUGAAAUAAAGCAGACACACAUGCUUAAAUACUGCAUUAUUUCUCUGGUGGGAGAAACUGAAAGUGUCAUAAGGAUUAAAAUGUGUAACAUAUUGUGAAAUAGGAAAAUAUUCAAAUGGGAAGGGCAACUAGGGAGGGGGAAGAGGGAAAGGAAGGGAAAACAAAAAAAUGGAAACAAAGUUUUUGUAAGUAAGGUGGGAAAGAGGAUGAAGGAAGGAGAGAGGAAUGGGACAAAAAGAAGCAAGGUACAUCACGUACAGGUACAAACUCCCUAUGAUGAAUGUGACCAUUAUGUAUACCUGAAAUGUACCAAUAAACUUAAUUAACAAUACAUAGUAGAUAUUGGGAAAACGGGAAGAGAACAAAACGUUCAAAUGAGAAGGUGAACAAAGGAGGAAGGAGGGCAAAAGGAAAGAAAGGACAAGAAAAAAACAAUGGGAAAAAUGGAGACAAAGCUUUUGCAAAAUAUGGAGGGGAAGAGGGGUUGAAGGAAGGGGAAUGGAAAAAAGCAACAUACCAUGUACAGGUACAAAUUCUCCACGACGAAUGUGAUCAUUAGGUCUAUCUAAAAUGUACUGAUAAAAUUUUUAAAAUGCAGACUUUUUUUUUUUUUUGGAGCUGGGGAUCAAAUUCACAACCUUGUGUUUGCCAAGCAGGCACUCACGCCACUGAGCUAAAUCCCCAAAAUUUUAAAAUGCAAAAAAAAAAAAAAAAAAAAAAAAAAAUUACUGUGACGUUUUCUAUGGUCACACUGUCUGGAAAAAGCAAAUCCAAGAGUUAAGGAAUUGCCCUGAUUUGGUCUCUCUUCCUGUCUCCCUUCCACGUUGCCGGGGAUCAAACCCCAAACCUCCUGUGUGCUAGGCAAUUGUUCUCCCACUGUGUAACUAUCACCAGACCUAGGUAUUCUUUAUCUUAGAGGUUCAGCUUCCAUAUUUCCUGUGACAUUUAGUGAUGAAGUGUCUUCUUUCCAGAGUUUAUACUCUUUCCUCAAACUCCUGCUGAACUCUUCACCCAUAUUCUUGAAGUUCUUUAUUUUUUAUUCUUUUGCUGUAGCCUGGUUUCCUGAAGAAAUGACUGUAUUAUUAAAGGUAUGGGUAAAACAA
Molecule: long non-coding RNA, 3266 nt
Organism: Cavia porcellus (domestic guinea pig)
Lineage: Eukaryota; Metazoa; Chordata; Mammalia; Rodentia; Caviidae
Exons: 2
Source: RefSeq, a predicted model, not a curated record